Molecule: ribosomal RNA, 545 nt
Filed under: Samsoniella sp.
Lineage: Eukaryota; Fungi; Ascomycota; Sordariomycetes; Hypocreales; Cordycipitaceae
Description: partial large subunit ribosomal RNA
Rfam family: Eukaryotic large subunit ribosomal RNA
Source: RNAcentral
GGGUUAAAAAGUACGUGAAAUUGUUGAAAGGGAAGCGCCUAUGACCAGACUUGGGCCCGGUGAAUCAUCCAGCGUUCUCGCUGGUGCACUUUGCCGGGCACAGGCCAGCAUCAGUUUGGCGCGGGGGAAAAAGGUUUUGGGAAUGUGGCUCCCUCGGGAGUGUUAUAGCCCAUUGCGUAAUACCCUGCGCCGGACUGAGGUACGCGCAUCGCAAGGAUGCUGGCGUAAUGGUCAUCAGCGACCCGUCUUGAAACACGGACCAAGGAGUCGUCUUCGUAUGCGAGUGUUCGGGUGUCAAACCCCUACGCGUAAUGAAAGUGAACGCAGGUGAGAGCUUCGGCGCAUCAUCGACCGAUCCUGAUGUUCUCGGAUGGAUUUGAGUAAGAGCAUACGGGGCCGGACCCGAAAGAAGGUGAACUAUGCCUGUAUAGGGUGAAGCCAGAGGAAACUCUGGUGGAGGCUCGCAGCGGUUCUGACGUGCGAAUCGAUCGUCAAAUAUGGGCAUGGGGGCGAAAGACUAAUCGAACCUUCUAGUAGCUGGUUUC